Molecule: long non-coding RNA, 324 nt
Filed under: Ricinus communis (castor bean)
Lineage: Eukaryota; Viridiplantae; Streptophyta; Magnoliopsida; Malpighiales; Euphorbiaceae
Description: long non-coding RNA (RCOM_LNC003769)
Source: RNAcentral
UCAUGCAUAAAAUUUGAUUUGCUACUGUGAAUAUUUAUUUGAAAUUUCAAUUUUUCAUUCAAUUAUUAUUAUUAUCAUUUGCAUGAUGCUUUUAAUUACUAUUUAAAUAUGUUUUUCCUUUAUUACCAAUUUUAAUAUUGCAUGAUGACUCAGGAUGGGACGGCAGUAGAACAUAGGAGUUGGAUGAGUGUCCAAUAUAAUAUGAGAGAGAUAAGAAAAGGGUAAAGAGGUAAAAAAUUUGAGAAAGAAAGAUUAGGACCUGCCCUGGUCGAGCAUCGCUCUCUGGGCUUAGUAGAGUGUGGUUGCCGGAGUAAAGGUCCCUGG